Non-coding RNA from Megalopta genalis, 275 nucleotides. The record is from RefSeq and is a predicted model, not a curated record. Lineage: Eukaryota; Metazoa; Arthropoda; Insecta; Hymenoptera; Halictidae.
AUCCAGAUAACUGGCUAGGCGAGAUGGAGCCGCGGUACUAUUCUAUUUCCCCCUUUUUAAAUCUCCGUGGGACUCCCCACCAGUAAUGAUCUGUUAUAUAGGGUGUUCUCGAAAGGAUCCAGUUUUAAAGAAAAACAAGUUUGAAAAUUCGUAAAUAUUCUCUCUCAUACUCUUUGUACAUACUCUCUGGCGGUAAUAGCCAUAUUGUACAAAGCAAAUUUUCAAACACGAUUAUCUCGAAAAUAUAUCGGUAAAUUCAGAGUAAUGGAUUCUCA